Molecule: ribosomal RNA, 490 nt
Filed under: uncultured bacterium
Lineage: Bacteria
Description: partial 16S ribosomal RNA
Rfam family: Bacterial small subunit ribosomal RNA
Source: RNAcentral
AUUGAACGCUGGCGGCAGGCCUAACACAUGCAGGUCGAACGGGAACAGGAAGCAGCUUGCUGCUUCGCUGACGAGUGGCGGACGGGUGAGUAAUGUCUGGGAAGCUGCCUGAUGGAGGGGGAUAACUACUGGAAACGGUAGCUAAUACCGCAUAAUGUCGCAAGACCAAAGAGGGGGGCCUUCGGGCCUCUUGCCAUCGGAUGUGCCCAGAUGGGAUUAGCUUGUUGGUGGGGUAACGGCUCACCAAGGCGACGAUCCCUAGCUGGUCUGAGAGGAUGACCAGCCACACUGGAACUGAGACACGGUCCAGACUCCUACGGGAGGCAGCAGUGGGGAAUAUUGCACAAUGGGCGCAAGCCUGAUGCAGCCAUGCCGCGUGUAUGAAGAAGGCCUUCGGGUUGUAAAGUACUUUCAGCGGGGAGGAAGGGAGUAAAGUUAAUACCUUUGCUCAUUGACGUUACCCGCAGAAGAAGCACCGGCUAACUCCGUG